UUGCCUUUGUACGGCGAGUGAAGCGGCAAAAGCUCAAUUUGAAAUCUGGCACCUUCGGUGUCCGAGUUGUAAUUUGAAGAAGGUAACUUUGGAGUUGGCUCUUGUCUAUGUUCCUUGGAACAGGACGUCACAGAGGGUGAGAAUCCCGUGCGAUGAGAUGCCCAAUUCUAUGUAAAGUGCUUUCUAAGAGUCAGUUGUUUGGGAAUGCAGCUCUAAGUGGGUGGUUAAUUCCAUCUAAAGCUAAAUAUUGGCGAGAGACCGAUAGCAACAAGUACAGUGAUGGAAAGAUGAAAAGAACUUUGAAAAGAGAGUGAAAAAGUACGUGAAAUUGUUGAAAGGGAAGGGCUUGAGAUCAGACUUGGUAUUUUGCGAUCCUUUCCUUCUUGGUUGGGUUCCUCGCAGCUUACUGGGCCAGCAUCGGUUUGGAUGGUAGGAUAAUGACUAAGGAAUGGGCUCUACUUCGGUGGAGUGUUAUAGCCUGGUUAUCGCCCGUCGACCGAGGA
Molecule: ribosomal RNA, 503 nt
Filed under: Debaryomyces hansenii
Lineage: Eukaryota; Fungi; Ascomycota; Pichiomycetes; Serinales; Debaryomycetaceae
Description: LSU rRNA
Rfam family: Eukaryotic large subunit ribosomal RNA
Source: RNAcentral